This is a long non-coding RNA of Cyprinus carpio (common carp), 197 nucleotides long. RefSeq lists it as uncharacterized. NCBI's taxonomy places the organism in Eukaryota, Metazoa, Chordata, Actinopteri, Cypriniformes, Cyprinidae. The transcript is spliced from 3 exons. The record is from RefSeq and is a predicted model, not a curated record.
GAAGCCAGCGUGUGCUGCAGAAGCCGGCGUGACGUCUGCAGACUGGAUCUGUGCGCAGGAGCUGGUCUUACUGCAGCAGCUCCAGCAGCUGAAGAACCGGCAGAUCAUUCAUCCUGUGCUUCAGCAAGUUGGGCUGAAACUGAAUCUUCUGGAUCCCGCGGCACCCAUAGACCUGCAUAUCUGGGCGUUGCUCUGCC